CUGCGUCAGGUCUUAGUGAUUCCCUGUUGCCCUCUGUGCUGGCUCUGGAGUGGACGACGGUGAAUUGCAUUCCAUACCCUUGUGAACCUUUGGGCCCUUGCAAGCUUCGGAAGGCAGACAAUUCUACAUUUGACUCGCCGUAAUGAGGUCUUGAUGCGCACACACCCUACCCAAUGCAUUACCGGACGGAUCUCUUGGCUCUCCACUCGAUGAAGAACGCCCUUCAAUGCGAUAAGUAAUGUGAAUUGCGUUCUUCAGUCAAUCAUUCAAUCUAUGAACGCACCUUGCUCCCUUUUCGAAUUUCACUGGGAUGUUCGUUUGAGUGACAGUCUACACACCCACUUCCGAACUUUCUUUGGGAGCGGUUGAGCUGGGUUUGCUGCCUUUACAUGGCUUACCUCAAAUGGGUUCCUUCUGCCCUCGGUUGGACAUAGAACCCCAUGUUUUUUAAGGGUGCUGGCGCCCCACCCCAUCCAAGGGUGGUCGCACAGGAUGUUGUGAUCGCAACCGUUUUAUCACAAUCUUUCACUCCUUGAGCUCCCCUACGGGAAACCAUUGCCCGACUAUUUUCUUCCCUCUAAAUAACCCGGAGGGAAAAAUCU
Molecule: small RNA, 602 nt
Filed under: Sebacina sp. 152
Lineage: Eukaryota; Fungi; Basidiomycota; Agaricomycetes; Sebacinales; Sebacinaceae
Description: eukaryotic LSU rRNA
Rfam family: 5.8S ribosomal RNA (bases 175-328)
Source: RNAcentral